Vespa crabro (European hornet) is the source of this 872-nucleotide long non-coding RNA. RefSeq lists it as uncharacterized. The transcript is spliced from 2 exons. The record is from RefSeq and is a predicted model, not a curated record. Lineage: Eukaryota; Metazoa; Arthropoda; Insecta; Hymenoptera; Vespidae.
UAUGGACUCAACGGCUCAACGUGCACGUCGCGGCAUUAAUUCGGUCUAUCGCUCGAACAAACACAUGUCGGAUUACUUGUCCCGCUCUGUUGGUGUUUACAAGUAUGUAUGUACCAAAGAAGAGAAGGAAAGAACCGAAGAAAGAGGAAGAUGAGGAUGAAGAAAAGGCUCCAAGGGAAGAAAGAGAAGAUGAAGAACACGAAUAAGAAAUAGAAGAAGAAGAAGAAGAAGAAGAAGAAGAAGAAGAAGAAGAAGAAGAAGAAGAAGAAGAGAAGUCGAACGAAAAAGGAAAGCGAAGAGAUCGAGACAAGUCUGUUCUUUCAUUAAUCAACGAUUAAGCCUCUGGCCUCGUCCUUUAUGAAUUAUUAUGAUACCACAUCUCACGACAUCGCCAUCAGUCACGACCUGUCGUGUAUCUCGCAUGCUUGAUUUAUCUUCGGAGCAUUAUCAUCUGGCACUUUGACAUUUUGUUUAAAUGGAUAAAAGUGGUUAAUGUCGUUUCUCCUUGAGAGGGAUGAAGCUUUGCGGCUGGAGGAUUGCGGAUAUAGCUACGAAGUUGGUAUAUGUAUGUAGUUACGUAUUAUAUGGGCUACGAUUUGCUUUCGAUCAAGAUUUAUUUUCUAGGAAGCAUCGAUCGCGUGUAACGAUUGCAUUUAUUUUAAACGGAAGUUUAUUUCCAUAAAUACAAUCAUUGCAUGCAGUCGUCGCAAUGCUCUAGAUAACAUGUAUGACUUUAUUUCUAUUCAUAUAUAUAAUCAUUGUAAAUAACAGUUUGUUACAAUGUCAUAUUUAUUUUUAAGAACACGUAUUUAUGUACAACGUUGCAUAUAGAAGGAAAAUAAUAAAUAGAAAAUUCCAUCCUUAAGAAAAAA